This 420-nucleotide ribosomal RNA is filed under the name uncultured Roseateles sp. Its description in RNAcentral is "bacterial SSU rRNA". It matches the Rfam family "Bacterial small subunit ribosomal RNA", at positions 470 to 890 of the family's 1533-position model. The record is from RNAcentral. Lineage: Bacteria; Pseudomonadati; Pseudomonadota; Betaproteobacteria; Burkholderiales; Sphaerotilaceae.
UGACGGUACCGUAAGAAUAAGCACCGGCUAACUACGUGCCAGCAGCCGCGGUAAUACGUAGGGUGCAAGCGUUAAUCGGAAUUACUGGGCGUAAAGCGUGCGCAGGCGGUGAUGUAAGACAGGCGUGAAAUCCCCGGGCUCAACCUGGGAAUGGCGCUUGUGACUGCAUCGCUGGAGUGCGGCAAAGGGGGAUGGAAUUCCGCGUGUAGCAGUGAAAUGCGUAGAUAUGCGGAGGAACACCGAUGGCGAAGGCAAUCCCCUGGGCCUGCACUGACGCUCAUGCACGAAAGCGUGGGGAGCAAACAGGAUUAGAUACCCUGGUAGUCCACGCCCUAAACGAUGUCAACUGGUUGUUGGGUCUUAGCUGACUCAGUAACGAAGCUAACGCGUGAAGUUGACCGCCUGGGGAGUACGGCCGCA